RNAcentral lists this ribosomal RNA (300 nucleotides) under Triticum aestivum (bread wheat). RNAcentral's name for it is "partial small subunit ribosomal RNA". Lineage: Eukaryota; Viridiplantae; Streptophyta; Magnoliopsida; Poales; Poaceae. The record is from RNAcentral.
AUGACCGCCAUGGAGGCGUCCAUGUGGCGACUUCGCCACCUCGUCGAGGAGCUCGCCAAGAUCAGGGAGGAUUGGUCGCUCAACGACACCUCCGCCGCCACCGGCAGGGGCAAGGGCAAGGCUCUUCGGUCACGGUCGGCGUUGGCCAAGGUGGCCCUCUGCACGACACAGGAGGAAGCCAAGCGGCUCCUUUGCAAGCGCCAAGCGGCGGCCGACCAGGCCUAUCGCCUCCCUGUGCCCUUUCGCCGUGGGGUGGAUCACUCCGAUGACAACGACGACGAUGACAUGGAUGGCGAAUGA